This 269-nucleotide unclassified non-coding RNA is filed under the name Actinomortierella ambigua. Its description in RNAcentral is "Mortierella ambigua partial internal transcribed spacer region". The stretch from base 1 to 46 matches the Rfam family "Eukaryotic small subunit ribosomal RNA", at positions 1786 to 1831 of the family's 1831-position model. Lineage: Eukaryota; Fungi; Mortierellomycota; Mortierellomycetes; Mortierellales; Mortierellaceae. The record is from RNAcentral.
AAGUCGUAACAAGGUUUCCGUAGGUGAACCUGCGGAAGGAUCAUUCACAAUAAGAGUGUUUAUGGCACUCUUCAAAAAAUCCAUACCCACCUUGUGUGCAACGUAAAAAGAAAAAAAGAAAGAUGCGAGUCAUGAGGGGAACCUCGAGUCUUGCUCCCUCUCUCUUUUUCUUUUCCACAUACACCUUUCUAUUAGUUCCUAUUGUCUGAAGCUGUUAGAGAAUGACUAAUUCUUAAACAUAACUUUCAACAACGGAUCUCUUGGCUCUC